GUCGACGAUGAAAGCCCUUCGGGGUGGAUUAGUGGCGAACGGGUGAGUAACACGUGGGCAAUCUGCCCUGCACUCUGGGACAAGCCCUGGAAACGGGGUCUAAUACCGGAUAUUGACCAUCUUGGGCAUCCUUGAUGGUGGAAAGCUCCGGCGGUGCAGGAUGAGCCCGCGGCCUAUCAGCUUGUUGGUGAGGUAAUGGCUCACCAAGGCGACGACGGGUAGCCGGCCUGAGAGGGCGACCGGCCACACUGGGACUGAGACACGGCCCAGACUCCUACGGGAGGCAGCAGUGGGGAAUAUUGCACAAUGGGCGAAAGCCUGAUGCAGCGACGCCGCGUGAGGGAUGACGGCCUUCGGGUUGUAAACCUCUUUCAGCAGGGAAGAAGCGAAAGUGACGGUACCUGCAGAAGAAGCGCCGGCUAACUACGUGCCAGCAGCCGCGGUAAUACGUAGGGCGCGAGCGUUGUCCGGAAUUAUUGGGCGUAAAGAGCUCGUAGGCGGCUUGUCGCGUCGGUUGUGAAAGCCCGGGGCUUAACCCCGGGUCUGCAGUCGAUACGGGCAGGCUAGAGUUCGGUAGGGGAGAUCGGAAUUCCUGGUGUAGCGGUGAAAUGCGCAGAUAUCAGGAGGAACACCGGUGGCGAAGGCGGAUCUCUGGGCCGAUACUGACGCU
Molecule: ribosomal RNA, 670 nt
Filed under: Streptomyces misionensis
Lineage: Bacteria; Bacillati; Actinomycetota; Actinomycetes; Kitasatosporales; Streptomycetaceae
Description: bacterial SSU rRNA
Rfam family: Bacterial small subunit ribosomal RNA
Source: RNAcentral